This 621-nucleotide ribosomal RNA is filed under the name Corallococcus sp. RNAcentral describes it as "bacterial SSU rRNA". It matches the Rfam family "Bacterial small subunit ribosomal RNA", at positions 53 to 654 of the family's 1533-position model. The record is from RNAcentral. Lineage: Bacteria; Pseudomonadati; Myxococcota; Myxococcia; Myxococcales; Myxococcaceae.
ACCAUGCAGUCGAGCGCGAAUAGGGGCAACCCUUAGUAGAGCGGCGCACGGGUGCGUAACACGUGGAUAAUCUGCCUGGAUGCUCGGGAUAACCAGUCGAAAGAUUGGCUAAUACCGGAUAAGCCCACGGUUUCUUCGGAGACUGAGGGAAAAGGUGGCCUCUGUAUACAAGCUAUCACAACCAGAUGAGUCCGCGGCCCAUCAGCUAGUUGGCGGGGUAAUGGCCCACCAAGGCGACGACGGGUAGCUGGUCUGAGAGGACGAUCAGCCACACUGGAACUGAGACACGGUCCAGACUCCUACGGGAGGCAGCAGUGGGGAAUUUUGCGCAAUGGGCGAAAGCCUGACGCAGCAACGCCGCGUGUGUGAUGAAGGUCUUUGGAUUGUAAAGCACUUUCGACCGAGAAGAAAACCCGUUGGCUAACAUCCAACGGCUUGACGGUAUCGGGAGAAGAAGCACCGGCUAACUCUGUGCCAGCAGCCGCGGUAAUACAGAGGGUGCAAGCGUUGUUCGGAAUUAUUGGGCGUAAAGCGCGUGUAGGCGGCGUGACAAGUCGGGUGUGAAAGCCCUCAGCUCAACUGAGGAAGUGCGCCCGAAACUGUCGUGCUUGAGUGCCGGAG